CUCGAGUUAUCUCUCGUCUCUAGACCAUUUGUGAGAAGGGAUCUUUUAUUUGCACCAAUACCUCACCAGUCUCUAAAUCUGCAAAUAAGUAUUAUGCUCACUUAAGGAAAAUACCUUGUCAAUAUAUCUCACCCUCUUUUAAAACUAAUCUUAGAAUUCAGAUGCCUUUGGAUCCUAAAAUACAUUGUUGUGCAUAUAUGUAAUCUACUGGCGCAGCAGGGUAAGUUUCUUGUGUACCUCUAGAAAUUCUCUUACUGCUUAGGAUUCCCGAGCUACCAAAACUUUCUUAAGGUCUACUCUGUAGGUCACAACUAUUAUUGCCGCACUCACCUUAUUGUUAAGAUGGUUAUUUCUUCCAAUCAAUAUCUGAUCCUUCGGAAGUUAGGUUUAAAAAUAAGUAGAUAAUGUGCAUUAGUGACUUUUCCUGAUGCUGCACUCAUAAUUGUUUUGUUUGUGUUCCAACUCAAUUCAAGAUGAUUCUCGAAAUCAUAUAAAUUCAUUAACACCAUGAACAUGAUAGCUAAGAAUUUGUAUGUCUUACAACUAGUAGACACCCUAAUUAUAAACAUAGGGACUGGUGAGGGGUUUGGUUAUGUUCCCUUCUCAUCGAUGGUCUAGAUGUGCGAGGUGACUCUCAUGGAGG
Molecule: microRNA precursor, 643 nt
Filed under: Capsella rubella
Lineage: Eukaryota; Viridiplantae; Streptophyta; Magnoliopsida; Brassicales; Brassicaceae
Description: MIR824 microRNA precursor family
Rfam family: MIR824 microRNA precursor family
Source: Rfam by way of RNAcentral